This 450-nucleotide ribosomal RNA is filed under the name uncultured Leptolinea sp. RNAcentral describes it as "bacterial SSU rRNA". It matches the Rfam family "Bacterial small subunit ribosomal RNA", at positions 917 to 1381 of the family's 1533-position model. The record is from RNAcentral. Lineage: Bacteria; Bacillati; Chloroflexota; Anaerolineae; Anaerolineales; Anaerolineaceae.
CGGGCCCGCACAAGCAGCGGAGCGUGUGGUUUAAUUCGAUGUUACACGAAGAACCUUACCAGGUUUGACAUGCAAGUGGUAGGAAGCCGAAAGGUGACCGACCCUUCGGGAGCUUGCACAGGUGCUGCAUGGCUGUCGUCAGCUCGUGUCGUGAGAUGUUCGGUUAAGUCCGCUAACGAGUGCAACCCUCGCUGUGUGUUAUAUGUGUCACACGGGACUGCCGGUCUUAAGCCGGAGGAAGGUGGGAUGAUGUCAAGUCAGCAUGGCCUUUAUAUCCUGGGCUACACACACGCUACAAUGGCCAACACAAUAGGUUGCUAAGCCGCGAGGUGGCGCCAAUCCAUAAAGUUGGUCUCAGUUCAGAUUGUAGGCUGCAACCCGCCUGCAUGAAGAUGGAGUUGCUAGUAACCGCAGGUCAGCUAUACUGCGGUGAAUACGUUCCCGGGGCUU